Non-coding RNA from Mycena metata, 103 nucleotides. NCBI's taxonomy places the organism in Eukaryota, Fungi, Basidiomycota, Agaricomycetes, Agaricales, Mycenaceae. The record is from the annotation of a GenBank genome assembly.
GACCCAGUGGUGAAAUGUAAUCACGCCCGCACCUUAUAUCGUCCCAAGAACGGUUUAUAAUGCGCCCAACCGGGAGUCCCCUGUUCGACCCAGGGCUAGGUCA